This 253-nucleotide ribosomal RNA is filed under the name uncultured bacterium. RNAcentral describes it as "partial 16S ribosomal RNA". It matches the Rfam family "Bacterial small subunit ribosomal RNA", at positions 524 to 776 of the family's 1533-position model. The record is from RNAcentral.
UACGUAGGUGGCAAGCGUUGUCCGGAUUUAUUGGGUUUAAAGGGUGCGUAGGCGGCCCUGUACGUCAGUGCUGAAAUAUCCCAGCUUAACUGGGAGGGUGGCAUUGAUACUGCGGGGCUAGAGUACAGAUGAGGUAGGCGGAAUUGACGGUGUAGCGGUGAAAUGCUUAGAUAUCGUCAAGAACACCUAUAGCGAAGGCAGCUUACUAGGCUGUAACUGACGCUGAGGCACGAAAGUGUGGGGAUCAAACAGG